Molecule: small nucleolar RNA, 122 nt
Organism: Prosopis cineraria
Lineage: Eukaryota; Viridiplantae; Streptophyta; Magnoliopsida; Fabales; Fabaceae
Product: small nucleolar RNA SNORD14
Exons: 1
Source: RefSeq, a predicted model, not a curated record
GGCCAACGAUGAGAAAUCCGAAGGCUUGUUUCUCAACAUUCGCAGUGGCCGCCAGAGAGCUUUCGCCUUUGACAGGCUUGAGAGCUGAUGCUGCCUUAAUCCUUCCUUGGAUGUCUGAGGCC